Molecule: small RNA, 544 nt
Filed under: Geranium yesoense
Lineage: Eukaryota; Viridiplantae; Streptophyta; Magnoliopsida; Geraniales; Geraniaceae
Description: eukaryotic LSU rRNA
Rfam family: 5.8S ribosomal RNA (bases 153-308)
Source: RNAcentral
GAUGUNGGGGGNUUGGGNGGAAGCCCACGUUNCCCGACAAAAAACGUACCCCCGGCGCGGUCUGCGCCAAGGAAUCGAAAUGAAGCAACGUGAGCAGUCCGCCCCGUUCGCGGGAAGUGGACGGCAACACGGUCUUCCAAUGUAUACUAAACGACUCUCGGCAACGGAUAUCUCGGCUCUCGCAUCGAUGAAGAACGUAGCGAAAUGCGAUACUUGGUGUGAAUUGCAGAAUCCCGUGAACCAUCGAGUUUUUGAACGCAAGUUGCGCCCGAAGCCAUUAGGCCGAGGGCACGCCUGCCUGGGCGUCACGCGCUCCGUCGCCCCGCAACCCCGAACCCCGAAACGGGCCAGGGUACUUGUGGUGCGGAGAUUGGUCUCCCGUGUGCCUUGCUCGCGGCUGGCCUAAAAUUGAGUCCCGGGCGCUCUGUUCUGCGGCCGACGGUGGUUGAGAAGCCCUCGAAAUUGUGCUGCUGCAGUGCUGCCCGAUGCGGACCCUGUGACCCUUGCGCGACCUCUCCCCUUGGGGUGAGGGAGCUCCAUCUGA